UCUUCGAGUCGUUGAUUUCACACUGCCGAGAAAAGCCUCUAGAUAGAAAAUAGGUGCCCGUACCGCAAACCGACACAGGUAGUCAAGAUGAGAAUUCUAAGGUGAGCGAGCGAACUCUCGUUAAGGAACUCGGCAAAAUGACCCCGUAACUUCGGGAGAAGGGGUGCUCUUUAGGGUUAACGCCCAGAAGAGCCGCAGUGAAUAGGCCCAAGCGACUGUUUAUCAAAAACACAGGUCUCUGCUAAACCGUAAGGUGAUGUAUAGGGGCUGACGCCUGCCCGGUGCUGGAAGGUUAAGAGGAGUGGUUAGCUUCUGCGAAGCUACGAAUCGAAGCCCCAGUAAACGGCGGCCGUAACUAUAACGGUCCUAAGGUAGCGAAAUUCCUUGUCGGGUAAGUUCCGACCCGCACGAAAGGCGUAACGAUUUGGGCACUGUCUCAACGAGAGACUCGGUGAAAUCAUAGUACCUGUGAAGAUGCAGGUUACCCGCGACAGGACGGAAAGACCCCGUGGAGCUUUACUGUAGCCUGAUAUUGAAAUUCGGCACAGCUUGUACAGGAUAGGUAGGAGCCUUUGAAACGUGAGCGCUAGCUUACGUGGAGGCGCUGGUGGGAUACUACCCUAGCUGUGUUGGCUUUCUAACCCGCACCACUUAUCGUGGUGGGAGACAGUGUCAGGCGGGCAGUUUGACUGGGGCGGUCGCCUCCUAAAAGGUAACGGAGGCGCUCAAAGGUUCCCUCAGAAUGGUUGGAAAUCAUUCAUAGAGUGUAAAGGCAUAAGGGAGCUUGACUGCGAGACCUACAAGUCGAGCAGGGUCG
RNAcentral lists this ribosomal RNA (817 nucleotides) under Staphylococcus aureus. Its description in RNAcentral is "partial 23S ribosomal RNA". It matches the Rfam family "Bacterial large subunit ribosomal RNA", at positions 1583 to 2401 of the family's 2925-position model. Lineage: Bacteria; Bacillati; Bacillota; Bacilli; Caryophanales; Staphylococcaceae. The record is from RNAcentral.